GCGCUUUAGCAGCACAUAUACUAAAGUUGGAAAUAUACCGAGUAGAUUAGCAUAGCCCCUGCGCAAGGACCACAUGCAGAUUCCUGAACCGGACCAUAUUUUU
Molossus molossus (Pallas's mastiff bat) is the source of this 103-nucleotide small nuclear RNA. The record is from RefSeq and is a predicted model, not a curated record. NCBI's taxonomy places the organism in Eukaryota, Metazoa, Chordata, Mammalia, Chiroptera, Molossidae.